Molecule: ribosomal RNA, 232 nt
Filed under: uncultured bacterium
Lineage: Bacteria
Description: partial 16S ribosomal RNA
Rfam family: Bacterial small subunit ribosomal RNA
Source: RNAcentral
UACGUAGGGUGCGAGCGUUGUCCGGAAUUAUUGGGCGUAAAGAGCUCGUAGGCGGUGUGUCACGUCGGCCGUGAAAACCUGCAGCUUAACUGUGGGCGUGCGGUCGAUACGGGCAUCACUGGAGUUCGGCAGGGGAGACUGGAAUUCCUGGUGUAGCGGUGAAAUGCGCAGAUAUCAGGAGGAACACCGGUGGCGAAGGCGGGUCUCUGGGCCGAUACUGACGCUGGAGGAG